GGUGGUCAAGUAACAAAGGGCGCACGGUGGAUGCCUUGGCAUCAGGAGGCGAUGAAGGACGUAGGAGCCUGCGAUAAGCCCCGGGGAGCUGGCAAGCGAGCGAUAAUCCGGGGAUUUCCGAAUGGGGAAACCCGG
Molecule: ribosomal RNA, 135 nt
Filed under: uncultured actinomycete
Lineage: Bacteria; Bacillati; Actinomycetota; Actinomycetes; Actinomycetales
Description: partial 23S ribosomal RNA
Rfam family: Bacterial large subunit ribosomal RNA
Source: RNAcentral